GUUAAAAAGCUNGUAGUUGAAAUUGUGUCCUGCGGUGUCGGUCUACCGAAUGCGGUACGACAGGCACGUCUGCGGGGCUUCUCGCCGGUGCGUCCACCGCCCCGGCGUGCGUCGGUCGGCCUCGCGGUCGGCCGCGCGCACCCGGGCGGGCCGUCGCGGCUGUUUACUUUGAACAAAUUAGAGUGCUCAAAGCGGGCUAACACUUGCCUGAAUAUUGUACGCAUGGAAUAAUAGAAUAGGACCUCGGUUCUGUUUUGUUGGCUUUCUGAUACCAGAGGUAAUGAUUAAUAGGGACAACUGGGGGCAUUCGUAUUGCGACGUUAGAGGUGAAAUUCUUGGAUCGUCGCAAGACGGACUAAAGCGAAAGCAUUUGCCAAAGGUGUUUUCAUUAAUCAAGAACGAAAGUUAGAGGUUCGAAGGCGAUUAGAUACCGCUGUAGUUCUAACCAUAAAUGAUGCCAGCCAGCGAUCCGCCGAAGUUUCAUAAUUUUAACCCGGUGGGCAGCUCCCGGGAAACCAAAGCUUUCGGGCUCCGGGGGAGUAUGGC
This 546-nucleotide ribosomal RNA is filed under the name Silvatares ensifer. Its description in RNAcentral is "SSU rRNA". It matches the Rfam family "Eukaryotic small subunit ribosomal RNA", at positions 618 to 1129 of the family's 1831-position model. Lineage: Eukaryota; Metazoa; Arthropoda; Insecta; Trichoptera; Pisuliidae. The record is from RNAcentral.